RNAcentral lists this long non-coding RNA (975 nucleotides) under Pan paniscus (pygmy chimpanzee). RNAcentral's name for it is "lncRNA (ENSPPAG00000044908.1)". Lineage: Eukaryota; Metazoa; Chordata; Mammalia; Primates; Hominidae. The record is from RNAcentral.
UGCUUAGAUUCUUUCUAGAGCCAGAUCUUUGGGAACAAACAAACAAACAAACAUAAGCACCAUAAUGACCACAGUCCUCUUGAUGUUUCAUCCACCACUGGGAUAACUCCUGGCACAAUUCUUGCCCCUGGCAGUUCCAAUACAAGUGAAUCUACAGGUUGUCAGGAAACUCUUCAAGGAUCUUUACAUAAUUAGAUGCCUCAUUUGGUGCAAUUCUAUCCAUGAAUACUAUCAUAUCUGUUUCAUGGCCCUUCAGUAUUUUCCAAGUAUGUCCUCUCUGUUUUUCUCUCUCUCAGAGACCACAACAUACAUUGGAGAAAGUGGGACCACAAGAGGUGGAUUAGCCACAGCUACCACUGGGGCAUUCUCUGGAAAGACUCUGGAACCUGGGAAUGACAACACAGCAAGUCCACAAGCACACAGGGAAUGCUACACCAUGGCUGCUCAAGUGAUAGGCUCCUAGGGUUAUAUAACCUUGUAUUUCCCAUACUGAAGACUUCAUGCUUGCUUUCUUUUCUCUCAGAGGCCACAGGUUCCACAGGAGGGAUCAGGGCCACCAGAACAGAAGCUCCAGGAGGUAAGGUUCACGAGUCCCAGCCCUCAGGGUUCUCCUAAUUUUCCUGUUGUGCUGAGGUGAACACAUAAAUGAGAAUGGGGGCCAAAGAAAGGGGGUUACUUCUUGCCUGGAACCACAACAUGUAUUCUGACCAUCCUGAGUAUUCCUGCUAAAGAAUUUGAGACACUGGGUUAUGUAUGUCAGGCAUUGCUCCACGGCCUGUGUGACAGUGUUAGUUGUCUGGACACCUGGUUGAGGCCCACUGACCUGCAGCAGUCUUCUCGGAACCCUGAUUGUCCCCACUUUGCUCAUGAUGAUUCUGCAAAGUACUAUCACCUGCUGCCAUCUCUCAAACGUACUUAUUACACUUCCUGUUUACUUCCUGUGUUUCCUCUCCCACAAAUGUAAAUCACAUGAGG